This 253-nucleotide ribosomal RNA is filed under the name uncultured bacterium. RNAcentral describes it as "partial 16S ribosomal RNA". It matches the Rfam family "Bacterial small subunit ribosomal RNA", at positions 524 to 776 of the family's 1533-position model. The record is from RNAcentral.
UACGUAGGGUGCAAGCGUUAAUCGGAAUUACUGGGCGUAAAGCGUGCGCAGGCGGCUUUGCAAGACAGAUGUGAAAUCCCCGGGCUCAACCUGGGAACUGCAUUUGUGACUGCAAGGCUAGAGUACGGUAGAGGGGGAUGGAAUUCCGCGUGUAGCAGUGAAAUGCGUAGAUAUGCGGAGGAACACCGAUGGCGAAGGCAAUCCCCUGGACCUGUACUAACGCUCAUGCACGAAAGCGUGGGGAGCAAACAGG